GUUAGACAUAGUAAAUAUGGCUUGAGAUACCUGUAUAACAGGACUAUUGUGUACAUGUUUAUACUUUAAUAUCUUCUAUGGACUGUACAAAAUAGUCACAGAUCCUCUAUCCUUCCAUUAUCACUGAACGUGAGACUCACUAUAAGUUGGGUGAAUGCCACAUUCCUCCAUCCCAAAAUGUGAACGGGUUAACAUGUCAUUGAGUGUAAAACCCCAACCAAG
Molecule: non-coding RNA, 222 nt
Organism: Pelobates cultripes (western spadefoot toad)
Lineage: Eukaryota; Metazoa; Chordata; Amphibia; Anura; Pelobatidae
Source: the annotation of a GenBank genome assembly